This 378-nucleotide ribosomal RNA is filed under the name Eukaryota sp. RNAcentral's name for it is "partial small subunit ribosomal RNA". It matches the Rfam family "Eukaryotic small subunit ribosomal RNA", at positions 583 to 975 of the family's 1831-position model. The record is from RNAcentral.
UUCCAGCUCCAGAAGCGUAUGCUAACGUUGUUGUGAUUAAAAAGCUCGUAGUUGAAAUUCUGGCGAGGUUGACCGGCCGCUUGGGUUGAAUGACCCUUGUCUGGCUGUUUGUCGACCAUGCCAUCCUUCCCUGUUCGCAUUAGAAUGGGGAUCGUUUACUGUAAGCAAAAUAGAGUGUUUCAAGCAGGCCGUAACUGGCCGGUAUAUUUCUUAUGGGAUAAUGAGAUAGGAUUUGCGUGCUAUUUCGUUGGUUUGUACACGCAAGUAAUGAUUAAGAGGAACAGUUGGGGGUAUUCGUAUUUACCAGCUAGAGGUGAAAUUCUUGGAUUUGGGAAAGACGAACAACUGCGAAGGCAUUUAUCAAAGAUGUUUUCAUUG